ACGGCUCAGUAACACGUAGUCAACCUAACCUAUGGACGGGAAUAACCUCGGGAAACUGAGAAUAAUGCCCGAUAGAACACUAUACCUGGAAUGGUUUGUGUUCCAAAUGAUUUAUCGCCAUAGGAUGGGACUGCGGCCUAUCAGUUUGUUGGUGAGGUAAUGGCCCACCAAGACUAUUACAGGUACGGGCUCUGAGAGGAGUAGCCCGGAGAUGGGUACUGAGACACGGACCCAGGCCCUGUGGGGCGCAGCAGGCGAGAAAACUUUGCAAUGUGCGAAAGCACGACAAGGUUAAUCCGAGUGAUUUCUGCUAAAGAGAUCUUUUGUUAGUCCUAGAAACACUAACGAAUAAGGGGUGGGCAAGUUCUGGUGUCAGCCGCCGCGGUAAAACCAGCACCUCAAGUGGUCAGGAUGAUUAUUGGGCCUAAAGCAUCCGUAGCCGGCUCUGUAAGUUUUCGGUUAAAUCUGUACGCUCAACGUACAGGCUGCCGGGAAUACUGCAGAACUAGGGAGUGGGAGAGGUAGACGGUACUCGGUAGGAAGUGGUAAAAUGCUUUGAUCUAUCGAUGACCACCUGUGGCGAAGGCGGUCUACCAGAACACGUCCGACGGUGAGGGAUGAAAGCUGGGGGAGCAAACCGGAUUAGAUACCCGGGUAGUCCCAGCUGUAAACUAUGCAAACUCAGUGAUGCAUUGGCUUGUGGCCAAUGCAGUGCUGCAGGGAAGCCGUUAAGUUUGCCGCCUGGGAAGUACGUACGCAAGUAUGAAACUUAAAGGAAUUGGCGGGGGAGCAC
This 793-nucleotide ribosomal RNA is filed under the name uncultured archaeon. Its description in RNAcentral is "bacterial SSU rRNA". It matches the Rfam family "Archaeal small subunit ribosomal RNA", at positions 85 to 879 of the family's 1478-position model. The record is from RNAcentral.